RNAcentral lists this ribosomal RNA (351 nucleotides) under Eukaryota sp. RNAcentral's name for it is "SSU rRNA". It matches the Rfam family "Eukaryotic small subunit ribosomal RNA", at positions 1325 to 1699 of the family's 1831-position model. The record is from RNAcentral.
UCGUUAACGAACGAGACCUUAACCUACUAAAUAGUCCUACUUUGUUUGCAAAGUGGGGACUUCUUAGAGGGACUAUCGGAUGAUAAACCGGUGGAAGUUUGAGGCAAUAACAGGUCUGUGAUGCCCUUAGAUGUUCUGGGCCGCACGCGCGCUACACUGACAGAGUCAGCGAGUUCCUCCUUCGCCGGAAGGCGUGGGUAAUCUUGUGAAACUCUGUCGUGCUGGGGAUAGAUCAUUGCAAUUAUUGAUCUUCAACGAGGAAUUCCUAGUAAGCGCAAGUCAUCAGCUUGCGUUGAUUACGUCCCUGCCCUUUGUACACACCGCCCGUCGCUAAUACCGAUUGAAUGGGUG